This 443-nucleotide ribosomal RNA is filed under the name uncultured Porphyromonadaceae bacterium. Its description in RNAcentral is "bacterial SSU rRNA". It matches the Rfam family "Bacterial small subunit ribosomal RNA", at positions 355 to 794 of the family's 1533-position model. The record is from RNAcentral. Lineage: Bacteria; Pseudomonadati; Bacteroidota; Bacteroidia; Bacteroidales; Porphyromonadaceae.
UAAGGGAUAUUGGUCAAUGGGGCGGGAGCCUGAACCAGCCAUGCCGCGUGAGGGAAUGAGGCCCUACGGGUCGUAAACCUCUUUUGCCGGGGGAUAACGGGCGCCACGUGUGGCGCCGUGAAGGUACCCGGAGAAUAAGCAUCGGCUAACUCCGUGCCAGCAGCCGCGGUAAUACGGAGGAUGCGAGCGUUAUCCGGAUUUAUUGGGUUUAAAGGGUGCGCAGGCGGGCGUCUAAGUCAGCGGUGAAAGUUCCCGGCUCAACCGGGUCAGUGCCGAUGAUACUGGUAGUCUUGAGUGUAAACGAGGUAGGCGGAAUGUGAUGUGUAGCGGUGAAAUGCUUAGAUAUGUCACAGAACCCCGAUUGCGAAGGCAGCUUACCAGGAUACGACUGACGCUGAGGCACGAAAGCGUGGGUAUCAAACAGGAUUAGAUACCCUGGUAGU